RNAcentral lists this ribosomal RNA (497 nucleotides) under uncultured bacterium. RNAcentral describes it as "partial 16S ribosomal RNA". It matches the Rfam family "Bacterial small subunit ribosomal RNA", at positions 28 to 507 of the family's 1533-position model. The record is from RNAcentral.
GAUGAACGCUGGCGGCGUGCCUAAUACAUGCAAGUCGAGCGAACGGACGAGAAGCUUGCUUCUCUGAUGUUAGCGGCGGACGGGUGAGUAACACGUGGAUAACCUACCUAUAAGACUGGGAUAACUUCGGGAAACCGGAGCUAAUACCGGAUGAUAUUUUGAACCGCAUGGUUCAAAAGUGAAAGACGGUCUUGCCGUCACUUAUAGAUGGAUCCGCGCUGCAUUAGCUAGUUGGUAAGGUAACGGCUUACCAAGGCAACGAUGCAUAGCCGACCUGAGAGGGUGAUCGGCCACACUGGAACUGAGACACGGUCCAGACUCCUACGGGAGGCAGCAGUAGGGAAUCUUCCGCAAUGGGCGAAAGCCUGACGGAGCAACGCCGCGUGAGUGAUGAAGGUCUUCGGAUCGUAAAACUCUGUUAUUAGGGAAGAACAUAUGUGUAAGUAACUGCGCACAUCUUGACGGUACCUAAUCAGAAAGCCACGGCUAACUACGUG